GUUGCCAUACUCCUCCGUAACGGCUUGACCGAUUUUGAUGAAAUUUUUUGUGCUUAUCCGGUAUCUAUGAGAAUCGGCCAACAUCUAUUUUUCAUCCCCCUAAAUGUUAGGGGUAGUCCAUUAUUAAUUAAAAACUAACUUUCCCGCCAAAAAAAUCUUUCAUUUUUCCCAACGCCAACUUUUCCGCCAAAAAAAUCUUCCAUUUUCUCCAUCGCCAAAUAAGUAAGGCAUCAGUUGUUUUUUUCUCCCAACAGUAAUUAGGCUAGGGUUAACAUUUUUCGACGGAUUAUUUCAAACGAUUCUGUUUAUUUUCUUAAUGUUUUAUGCAUUUAAAAUUAAACAUUGUUAAUUAAUCCAUGUUUCACAUUCAUUCUGAAGUACUUUUGAAUUAAAAUAACACAGAAUAAAGGAAAUUAAAAAUGUCUAAUCUGCAUAGCGUUACCCCAACUGGCGUAGAAAAAUUUACGCAUUUGCGUUGACGUAACUGGCGAAGAAAAUCCACGCAUGCGCAUUGUUCUGAUUGUUGGCAUGACAACCAACGGACGAUUUAAAUUAUUUUUAGCGACGAAUUGCAACACCACGUUCAGUCCCUCCCUCGAGGCCAAGGCGGUGGAAAUGCAAGUCCUUGUAGCACACUUCAGCUUCUAGCCAAAGUUCUUCCCAACAUCACUUUAUUUGCGACUUACUUCUCUAUUGACUCAGACGACAUCUGCUAUUAAGUGCGUCAGCUGCCGUGUUGCCGAACACUGGAUGUUAAACUUUGUAGAAUCAGCUUGCGAUUGCAUUCAAUGAUCGUGCGUAUGAAGCUCUUUGCCUAAUGACCAUUCAUAGAGUUCUUAUCAUGUGAUGGCGCUCCACUUUUAAGAGGUCCCGUUAACGUAAGCAGCCGUUUUUAAGUGUCUACUAUUUUGAACGAUAUUGCUUUCCAAAAAUCUUCCCCGAUUUUUGAUCGUUGUCAUGGCAACCAGUACCUCUUGAGGACACCAUACCAUAUGUAUAAUGUUAAAGGAGAGUUGAGGUACAUAGUGCAAGAUCCACCCCACCUAGAGCAAUGCUAUCUAGAAGCCACCUGCAGCAUACCCAGUGACGUAUGCAAGAACUACGGUUACGGAACAGGACGACGGGGAACAGCAGGCUGUGAAUCUCGCCAUUGCCACCACACUCUCCUGGCUUGGGACCCAUCCUCCCCUGACGACGGCACAUUCUUCGAUAUUUUCGAGUACUCUUGCUGCUGCAAUUGUCAUACGCCCAUGCCGCAAUCGACCCGGUCGCAGCUCGUCGGAUGAACUGUGACAGAUAUUAGGAAAUAACUGUUUCAUCUCUAUUAUAUUUAUAUUAUAUAUGUGUGAUAAAUUAUUGUUAUGAAAUGAUUUAUAUAUAUA
Molecule: RNA transcript, 1382 nt
Organism: Argiope bruennichi
Lineage: Eukaryota; Metazoa; Arthropoda; Arachnida; Araneae; Araneidae
Gene name: protein spaetzle 3-like
Exons: 5
Source: RefSeq, a predicted model, not a curated record